This 522-nucleotide ribosomal RNA is filed under the name uncultured bacterium. RNAcentral describes it as "bacterial SSU rRNA". It matches the Rfam family "Bacterial small subunit ribosomal RNA", at positions 119 to 674 of the family's 1533-position model. The record is from RNAcentral.
AGGAAUGUGUCCGAAGGUGGGGGAUAACCCUGGGAAACUAGGGCUAAUACCGCAUAUGGGCUGAGGCUCAAAGCAGUGAUGCGCCUUCGGAGUAGCCUGCGCCUGAUUAGCUAGUUGGUGGGGUAAAGGCCUACCAAGGCUACGAUCAGUAGCUGGUCUGAGAGGACGACCAGCCACACUGGGACUGAGACACGGCCCAGACUCCUACGGGAGGCAGCAGUGGGGAAUAUUGGACAAUGGGCGCAAGCCUGAUCCAGCAAUGCCGCGUGUGUGAAGAAGGUCUUCGGAUCGUAAAGCACUUUCGACGGGGACGAUGAUGACGGUACCCGUAGAAGAAGCCCCGGCUAACUUCGUGCCAGCAGCCGCGGUAAUACGAAGGGGGCUAGCGUUACUCGGAAUUACUGGGCGUAAAGGGCGCGUAGGCGGCGCUCCAAGUUAGGCGUGAAAGUCCUGGGCUCAACCUGGGAACUGCGCUUAAGACUGGAGUGCUUGAGGAUGGAAGAGGGUCGUGGAAUUCCCAGU